This 200-nucleotide unclassified non-coding RNA is filed under the name Sordariomycetes sp. RNAcentral's name for it is "partial internal transcribed spacer 2". Lineage: Eukaryota; Fungi; Ascomycota; Sordariomycetes. The record is from RNAcentral.
UUAAGUUCAGCGGGUAUUCCUACCUGAUCCGAGGUCAACCUUAAAAAUGGGGUGUUUAACGGCAAAGCCCCACCAGACGCCCUAAGCGAGAAGAAUUACUGCGCUCGGAGUCGUAGCGAGUCCGCCACUGAGUUUAGGGACUACUUGACGUAGAACCCCAACACCAAGCCGGGGCUUGAGGGUUGAAAUGACGCUCGAAC